Molecule: non-coding RNA, 94 nt
Organism: Acanthosepion pharaonis
Lineage: Eukaryota; Metazoa; Mollusca; Cephalopoda; Sepiida; Sepiidae
Source: the annotation of a GenBank genome assembly
CAACCACUGGUUCCCGUACAAUCACCGAAGUUAAGCAACAUCGAACCUGAUUAGUACCGAGAUGGGAGGACACUUCGGAAUUCAACGUGCUGUA